Molecule: signal recognition particle RNA, 99 nt
Filed under: Clostridia bacterium
Lineage: Bacteria; Bacillati; Bacillota; Clostridia
Description: signal recognition particle sRNA small type
Rfam family: Bacterial small signal recognition particle RNA
About the family: The signal recognition particle (SRP) is a universally conserved ribonucleoprotein involved in the co-translational targeting of proteins to membranes. Archaeal SRP consists of a 7S RNA and homologues of the eukaryotic SRP19 and SRP54 proteins.
Source: RNAcentral
GAAUGGGUCCUGCGCAAUUUGCCCCCGUGAACCGUGUCAGGUGGGGAACCAAGCAGCACUAAGCGGUCAGGUGGAUGUGCCGCAGACAGCCUGUUCCGA